AUGCCGGGCAGGGCCCGGCGCGCUCCCCCGCGCCCUGGCGCGCCGCACCUCCCCACGGGCUCCGGCCACGCCAGGCCCCCUCCCCGGCUACGGUUCCCAGAGAGGGCGGCGGUGGCGGCGGCUUGGCGGUGGAGAGACGGGGAGCGAGGAAUGGAGGGCGAGGAGGCGGCGGGAGGCAGAGGCUCAGCGCGCACCCAGCUCCGCGCCCUGCUGCCACCGGAGCCCGGCGCGGCAACUCCUCCAACUCUCCGCCGAGAGCACGCCCGCCCCGCGCCGCGCCGCCGCUGCCCCCGCCCACCGCGGCAGCGGCCGGGCCUGGCGCCCCCUCCGAGCUCUGGGCCGCCCCCACCCCACCCCGCCACACACACACACACACACACACACACAGCCAGCCACUUGCGCGCUGGGACGCGCGCGCGCACGCACACACACACACACAAUCACAUCCUCCCGGGGACACACACACACACACACACACACACACACAGGUAUGCACGCACAGACAGGAGAAUCCGGAACACGUGUGCACACAGUCGGAUACCCAGACUUGGGCGUCGCACCCUCACGUGCAAAGUGCGUGCCCCCGCAUGCAUGCCGGUAGCAGGUGCACAGGCGUGCACACACCCUCAUAGCUGCGCAUGCAGGGUGGUAUCUGCACAUGUGUCCACGUGCACACAGCUCGGCUCGUGCACCCACCAGGCACACGGCAUCUCUCUCCUGCUCUGCCUGGCUUCCUCCCCUGCUUUCUCCUCUGUGCUCCACCCCCCUCUGCCGACUGACCCCCAUGUGACCCCUUUUUCUUGCCCACCGGACUCUGGAGGCCAGGCUUUCUUCCCAGCCUGUCCCCAGGUGCCCUGCCCUCCCAGCCUCCCUGGGGCUCAUUGUCUGGGCUUCAGUUCUCUCUGCCUCCUGCAGGGUACCGGCCUCUCAUCUAGCAGAGAAACCUGCCCAGCUGCGCCCCAACCCAGGGAAACCCCAUUUUAUCAGGGUCUGACCCCACCACCACCACCACCACCACUCAGCCCCAGGGCCGCAGAAUUGGGCCACGGAGGCAGGGCUGUGCCCAGAGCCUCAGCCUCAAAGGGCUCCCCGGCCCUGUCGGCCUCCAGCCUUCCCUUUAAUGUGAAAUAUAAUUAUGUGUCUGCACAGCAGGGAGACUGGCUGCAGCGUUCUAACCAGGGAGGAGGGCUCUCUGGCCUGCGCCCAGAUGGCUGGCAAAGCAGAGAGGCCUGCCGGCCCCACCUGCUCCAGGCUCCAGGCAGCUGGCAGGUGCCUCCCAGGGUGGGGUCACUCCUUGGAGCACUCAUCAACCUCCCCUGGCCGCCCUGGGUCUGA
RNAcentral lists this long non-coding RNA (1335 nucleotides) under Oryctolagus cuniculus (rabbit). RNAcentral's name for it is "lncRNA (ENSOCUG00000037577.1)". Lineage: Eukaryota; Metazoa; Chordata; Mammalia; Lagomorpha; Leporidae. The record is from RNAcentral.